UCUCUGGAAUAAAGAUUCGAAGACAGACAAAAACAAUUAGAGCAGCCAUGAGGAUCCGGCACCUGCGAGGCAAGAGGUACUCAUUUUAGGGCUUAGAUGACAGCGGGUGCUUGAGCUGAACCGAUCGCCGAGGCCUGAGCUGAGGGAUCGGACUCAGGAGGGGCCCGCCUCUCCCUAGGAGGCCCCAGCAGCCUGUACACCCCCAUGGAGAGGAGUAAUUUCCGAUAUACCCCAGUCUUCACAUCACACCAUUCUCAAGCCAAGUGACAAUCUGGCGACUUCAGGAACUUGGAAAUAAAAGAUGUCAUCAGAGUAGCCUGGGGAACAGAGGUCUGGAGAGAACCUGAGGCGGCGUGUCAAACUCCCUUCAUUUAGACUGGCCCAAUGAUAGGCGGUACGUACGACAGAAUUUCCCUCCAGUUCAGCUUCUCGUCGAAGCCUGGAAGCAGUGGGAAGGGCUACAGCAGUCAGGAGCCCAUCUUGACCCUUAAGUAGAGCUCCUUAACCUUUCGAGAGGAUGUUGACAACAGUGCUGACAGAGUGCUAAGCUGGAAAUCAGACUUUACUUUUUCUAUCUCCACCCACUAUAGUGUCUGUCCCAUGAAGGCUAAGCUUUGC
Neofelis nebulosa (Clouded leopard) is the source of this 618-nucleotide long non-coding RNA. RefSeq lists it as uncharacterized. The record is from RefSeq and is a predicted model, not a curated record. The transcript is spliced from 2 exons. Lineage: Eukaryota; Metazoa; Chordata; Mammalia; Carnivora; Felidae.